AUGCAUUUAUGUGGGCAGUUCCUUACAAACUUCUUGAAUCUGUUCCAUGCGUCACUGAGAGUUUCUCCAUCUCUUUGCUCAAAAUUUGUAAUGUCCCUUCAACGCUU
Molecule: small nucleolar RNA, 107 nt
Organism: Benincasa hispida (wax gourd)
Lineage: Eukaryota; Viridiplantae; Streptophyta; Magnoliopsida; Cucurbitales; Cucurbitaceae
Source: RefSeq, a predicted model, not a curated record